This 97-nucleotide signal recognition particle RNA is filed under the name Citricoccus muralis. Its description in RNAcentral is "signal recognition particle sRNA small type". It matches the Rfam family "Bacterial small signal recognition particle RNA". From Rfam's summary of the family: The signal recognition particle (SRP) is a universally conserved ribonucleoprotein involved in the co-translational targeting of proteins to membranes. Lineage: Bacteria; Bacillati; Actinomycetota; Actinomycetes; Micrococcales; Micrococcaceae. RNAcentral also lists the same sequence under 1 other name. The record is from RNAcentral.
CGCGGCCCCUCACGUGGUGUCAUCUUACUGAACUCCCCCAGGGCAGGAAUGCAGCAAGGGUAAGUGAGCUCUGGCAGGUGCGUGAGGGGCUCUUUCG